Long non-coding RNA from Sapajus apella (tufted capuchin), 1166 nucleotides. RefSeq lists it as uncharacterized. The transcript has 2 exons. The record is from RefSeq and is a predicted model, not a curated record. NCBI's taxonomy places the organism in Eukaryota, Metazoa, Chordata, Mammalia, Primates, Cebidae.
CAUUCUUAAUUGAACCUAUGCAUUAAAAGAGUUUUUCCUAGGUCAUUGGGUCUUUAUUGCUGAAGAUUCCUAUAUCAUGUAAAACUUUGAUUAAAUAAACGUGUUAUGCCUUUCUCUUACUAACCUGCCUUUUGUUAUAGGAGUGUUGGCCAUGAUCCUUAUUAUAGGUGAGAAAAGAUGUCACCUUUCUGCCCCUAUAGUUUCUGGCCCCUAAAAUAGGAGUGGUUGAGACACCUAAUUUGCUCUGGAGCCUGUGGAAUAGAUCCUGGGACAACUGACAAACAGCCAGCAAAGGAAAGCUCCUAUCUCCUCCAUUUGGUGAUCAGUGGAUGGAAAAUUACUAAAAGGAAACAUCAGAGGUAAGAAGAAUUGAGGUUUCUAUAGUUAAACUUUAGUCAGACUUCUGAAACUUCUCCAAGGCCCAUCUCUGUACUUCCUUGUAAAAUCCUAUAGGAAAUUUCUGUAAAAUCCUAUAGUAAAUUCCUGUAAGUCUAUGUUGCCUUGACAUCCAUUUUGAAUCCUCCUCAGUCCCACCUAAUUGACUCACUCUCCUCCUGGUCAGGCUCACCUAAAGAGUGGCUUUUCUGAUAGGCCCAUCAGGGCAGGGGUAGAGUUUAUAGCCACUCUCUAGAAAGAAAUCUCAAGACUAAAUUAGUGAAAAAUGCGACAAUUCAGUUUUAGCAGAAAUAAAUGUCUUAUCCAUUCACAUGGGUCUUUGUGGACAGUUAACUGCUAGAUGUCCCUUCAGUCACCAGCCUAAAAUCUAGUCCACAGCUUCCAUAAGAUUGACCUCUGAUAAUAGGUUUUUCUCUAUUCACCAUAUUUAAGAAAGGCUGUUAACAGAGAAACUUUGAGAUAUAAAUUUUCUACCCUGUUUUCUCUAGAACUUGACGGUUAACCUUUGGAAAUACAAGCUUCAAAGAAAUAAUGAUCAUCUGAAAGAGAACUAUUUAGAAACUGGUCAGAUAAAAAGUCUUAAACCCUUUUUCUACAACACUUGGGAAAAAGCUUGAACUAUCUGAACAGGUAGCCUCAACUUGUCCCAUUCACCAGAACUAGUUAGUAAGUCUUAAAUUAUCAGACCUGGCACAUAGCUAAAAGUUUUAGAAUGAAAGCUGUAAAAUCUGCUUCUAUCUAUAUGUUUAUAUUAUUAAAUAUAAUAUAGA